Molecule: ribosomal RNA, 995 nt
Filed under: uncultured bacterium
Lineage: Bacteria
Description: bacterial SSU rRNA
Rfam family: Bacterial small subunit ribosomal RNA
Source: RNAcentral
UGGGGAAUAUUGUACAAUGGGGGAAACCCUGAUGCAGCGACGCCGCGUGGAGGAAGAAGGUCUUCGGAUUGUAAACUCCUGUUGUUGAGGAAGAUAAUGACGGUACUCAACAAGGAAGUGACGGCUAACUACGUGCCAGCAGCCGCGGUAAAACGUAGGUCACAAGCGUUGUCCGGAAUUACUGGGUGUAAAGGGAGCGCAGGCGGGAAGACAAGUUGGAAGUGAAAUCUAUGGGCUCAACCCAUAAACUGCUUUCAAAACUGUUUUUCUUGAGUAGUGCAGAGGUAGGCGGAAUUCCCGGUGUAGCGGUGGAAUGCGUAGAUAUCGGGAGGAACACCAGUGGCGAAGGCGGCCUACUGGGCACCAACUGACGCUGAGGCUCGAAAGUGUGGGUAGCAAACAGGAUUAGAUACCCUGGUAGUCCACACCGUAAACGAUGAUUACUAGGUGUUGGAGGAUUGACCCCUUCAGUGCCGCAGUUAACACAAUAAGUAAUCCACCUGGGGAGUACGACCGCAAGGUUGAAACUCAAAGGAAUUGACGGGGGCCCGCACAAGCAGUGGAGUAUGUGGUUUAAUUCGACGCAACGCGAAGAACCUUACCAAGUCUUGACAUCCCUUGACAGGCAUAGAAAUAUGUUUUCUCUUCGGAGCAAGGAGACAGGUGGUGCAUGGUUGUCGUCAGCUCGUGUCGUGAGAUGUUGGGUUAAGUCCCGCAACGAGCGCAACCCUUAUGGUCAGUUACUACGUAAGAGGACUCUGGCCAGACUGCCGUUGACAAAACGGAGGAAGGUGGGGAUGACGUCAAAUCAUCAUGCCCUUUAUGACUUGGGCUACACACGUACUACAAUGGCGUUAAACAAAGAGAAGCAAGACCGCGAGGUGGAGCAAAACUCAGAAACAACGUCCCAGUUCGGACUGCAGGCUGCAACUCGCCUGCACGAAGUCGGAAUUGCUAGUAAUCGUGGAUCAGCAUGCCACGGUGAAUACGUUCCC